RNAcentral lists this long non-coding RNA (781 nucleotides) under Saimiri boliviensis boliviensis (Bolivian squirrel monkey). RNAcentral's name for it is "lncRNA (ENSSBOG00000036499.1)". The record is from RNAcentral. Lineage: Eukaryota; Metazoa; Chordata; Mammalia; Primates; Cebidae.
GGGAGCCGCUCCCGGGCGGCACGACGCCGAGUCCCUCCUCCCCUCCCCGCAGGCAGCCUGUGCCUUUUCUCCAAACGAAGACAGCACUUUGAAAAUUCUUUCAAUGGAUUUUUUUUUCCUUGAAAGAUCGUACUGGGGGAAAAUGAUACUUCUAUUAGUUACAUAUUCUCCAAUCGCAUCCUCGCACCCCCCUCGUUUUGAGAUCGCUCCCCUAGGCAGGCUCAGGCGGGCGCGGAGCGGCGCGGAGUGACAAAGCCGCCGCUGCCGCCGCCGGGGGUGGGAACCGCUCUCGCCCGCCCGCCCCUCGACUCGCGAGGGCGUAAAAGUUUGUCUCAGCUCGAGCGUUCGUAGCGCCAACACGCCCUCAGGUAAAGGUGGAAGUAAAUGGCCACGCUGUAUUGACAGAGAUUGAGAAACGGAAAUACCACCACCGUUCAGCCAAUCUGCUGGGAGGACUGCUUGCAGGGGACUCGUGCUCCAGAUGUUGCACUAGAGGCGCUGCAAGUGUGAGCAGCAGGUAGAUGAAACUCAAGAGAAAAGUGUGGGUAAACGAAACUAGCCGAUGAUGAACCUGUUUUCUCCCUGACCACAAUAUGAACCAGGAUGAUGGCGGUGGCAGUGGGCCUGCAUCACAGGUUGCAGCAGAUGUUCUCAAUAUUUCUAUUAACAUUUCCUUAUUUCCAUAUGCAAGAGGAGCCCCAGAGCCUCAUCCCUGUGGUAGCUACCAUGCCGUGGUAGGUGAUGCUGUACUCUUCCACAUCAUCCUUCCGGUUCUAGCAGA